Molecule: ribosomal RNA, 39 nt
Filed under: Danio rerio (zebrafish)
Lineage: Eukaryota; Metazoa; Chordata; Actinopteri; Cypriniformes; Danionidae
Description: partial 28S ribosomal RNA
Source: RNAcentral
ACAACCCGCUGAAUUUAAGCAUAUUACUAAGCGGAGGAA